This 493-nucleotide ribosomal RNA is filed under the name uncultured soil bacterium. RNAcentral describes it as "bacterial SSU rRNA". It matches the Rfam family "Bacterial small subunit ribosomal RNA", at positions 26 to 487 of the family's 1533-position model. The record is from RNAcentral.
AGGACGAACGCUGGCGGCGUGCUUAACACAUGCAAGUCGAGCGGUAGGGCCUUUCGGGGUACACGAGCGGCGAACGGGUGAGUAACACGUGGGUGAUCUGCCCUGCACUCUGGGAUAAGCCUGGGAAACUGGGUCUAAUACCGGAUAUGACCUGCUCUCGCAUGGGGGGUGGGUGGAAAGAUUUAUCGGUGCAGGAUGGGCCCGCGGCCUAUCAGCUUGUUGGUGGGGUAAUGGCCUACCAAGGCGACGACGGGUAGCCGACCUGAGAGGGUGACCGGCCACACUGGGACUGAGACACGGCCCAGACUCCGUACGGGAGGCAGCAGUGGGGAAUAUUGCACAAGUGGGACGAAAGCCUGAUGCAGCGACGCCGCGUGAGGAUGACGGUCCGUUCGGGUUACGUAAACCUCUUUACAGACGAGGGACGAAGCGACAAGUCGACCGGUACCUGACGAGAAAGAACGACCGACCGGACUAACCGUACGUCGACCGA